GUGGGGAAUCUUGCGCAAUGCGCGAAAGCGUGACGCAGCAACGCCGCGUGCGGGAAGACGGCCUUCGGGUUGUAAACCGCUUUCAGUUGGGACGAAGCUUCGCCGGUGAAUAGCCGGCCGGAGUGACGGUACCUUCACAAGAAGCCCCGGCUAACUACGUGCCAGCAGCCGCGGUAAUACGUAGGGGGCAAGCGUUGUCCGGAAUCAUUGGGCGUAAAGCGCGUGUAGGCGGCUUCGUCAGUCCGUUGUGAAAGUCCAGGGCUCAACCCUGGAAUGCCGAUGGAUACUGCGGAGCUCGAGUCCGGAAGAGGCAAGUGGAAUUCCUGGUGUAGCGGUGAAAUGCGCAGAUAUCAGGAGGAACACCAAUGGCGAAGGCAGCUUGCUGGGACGGUACUGACGCUGAGACGCGAAAGCGUGGGGAGCAAACAGGAUUAGAAACCCGAGUAGUCC
This 450-nucleotide ribosomal RNA is filed under the name uncultured bacterium. RNAcentral's name for it is "bacterial SSU rRNA". It matches the Rfam family "Bacterial small subunit ribosomal RNA", at positions 354 to 796 of the family's 1533-position model. The record is from RNAcentral.